GUCGACGGCAGCACGGGAGCAAUCCUGGUGGCGAGUGGCGAACGGGUGAGUAAUGUAUCGGAACGUACCUUUCAGUGGGGGAUAACGUAGCGAAAGUUACGCUAAUACCGCAUAUUCUGUGAGCAGGAAAGCAGGGGAUCGCAAGACCUUGCGCUGAUUGAGCGGCCGAUAUCAGAUUAGCUAGUUGGUGAGGUAAAGGCUCACCAAGGCGACGAUCUGUAGCGGGUCUGAGAGGAUGAUCCGCCACACUGGAACUGAGACACGGUCCAGACUCCUACGGGAGGCAGCAGUGGGAAAUUUUGGACAAUGGGGGCAACCCUGAUCCAGCCAUGCCGCGUGAGUGAAGAAGGCCUUCGGGUUGUAAAGCUCUUUCAGCCGGGAAGAAAUCACAUGGGUUAAUACCCUGUGUGGAUGACGGUACCGGAAUAAGAAGCACCGGCUAACUACGUGCCAGCAGCCGCGGUAAUACGUAGGGUGCGAGCGUUAAUCGGAAUUACUGGGCGUAAAGCGUGCGCAGGCGGUUUGUUAAGAUAGGCGUGAAAUCCCCGGGCUCAACCUGGGAACUGCGUUUAUGACUGGCAGGCUAGAGUAUGGCAGAGGGGGGUGGAAUUCCACGUGUAGCAGUGAAAUGCGUAGAGAUGUGGAGGAACACCGAUGGCGAAGGCAGCCCCCUGGGCCAAUACUGACGCUCAUGCACGAAAGCGUGGGUAGCAAACAGGAUUAGAUACCCUGGUAGUCCACGCCCUNAACGAUGUCAACU
Molecule: ribosomal RNA, 760 nt
Filed under: uncultured bacterium
Lineage: Bacteria
Description: bacterial SSU rRNA
Rfam family: Bacterial small subunit ribosomal RNA
Source: RNAcentral